Molecule: ribosomal RNA, 500 nt
Filed under: uncultured bacterium
Lineage: Bacteria
Description: partial 16S ribosomal RNA
Rfam family: Bacterial small subunit ribosomal RNA
Source: RNAcentral
AUUGAGCGCUGGCGGAAUGCUUUACACAUGCAAGUCGAACGGCAGUACGGACUUCGGUCUGGUGGCGAGUGGCGAACGGGUGAGUAAUGUAUCGGAACGUGCCCAGUCGUGGGGGAUAACGUAGUGAAAAUUACGCUAAUACCGCAUACGAUCUAUGGAUGAAAGCGGGGGAUCGCAAGACCUCGCGCGAUUGGAGCGGCCGAUAUCAGAAUAGGUAGUUGGUGGGGUAAAGGCCCACCAAGCCAACGAUCUGUAGCUGGUCUGAGAGGACGACCAGCCACACUGGAACUGAGACACGGUCCAGACUCCUACGGGAGGCAGCAGUGGGGAAUUUUGGACAAUGGGCGAAAGCCUGAUCCAGCCAUUCCGCGUGCAGGAUGAAGGCCCUCGGGUUGUAAACUGCUUUUGUACAGAACGAAAAGGUUUCUACUAAUACUAGGAGCUCAUGACGGUACUGUAAGAAUAAGCACCGGCUAACUACGUGCCAGCCGCCGCGGUAA